UACGUAGGGGGCUAGCGUUGUCCGGAUUUAUUGGGCGUAAAGAGCUCGUAGGCGGUCUGUCGCGUCGGAUGUGAAAAUCCAGGGCUCAACCCUGGACCUGCAUUCGAUACGGGCAGACUAGAGUUCGGCAGGGGAGACUGGAAUUCCUGGUGUAGCGGUGAAAUGCGCAGAUAUCAGGAGGAACACCGGUGGCGAAGGCGGGUCUCUGGGCCGAUACUGACGCUGAGGAGCGAAAGCGUGGGGAGCAAACAGG
RNAcentral lists this ribosomal RNA (253 nucleotides) under uncultured bacterium. RNAcentral describes it as "partial 16S ribosomal RNA". It matches the Rfam family "Bacterial small subunit ribosomal RNA", at positions 524 to 776 of the family's 1533-position model. The record is from RNAcentral.